CAUGCAUGUCUAAGCACAUGCCUUAAUACGGUGAAGCCGCGAAUAGCUCAUUACAACAGCCAUCGUUUACUAGAAAAUCGUUGUCCUACUUGGAUAACUGUGGCAAUUCUAGAGCUAAUACAUGCGAAAAAGCUCAGACUGAAAGGAAUGAGCGCAUUUAUUAGAAUAAAAACCAAUCGGGUCUAAAAGCCCGUCGUUUGGUGAAUCUGAAUAACUUUGCAGAUCGCACGGUCCUAGUACCGGCGACGUAUCUUUCAAGUGUCUGCCUUAUCAACUUUCGAUGGUAGGUUAUACGCCUACCAUGGUAGUAACGGGUAACGGAGAAUAAGGGUUCGACUCCGGAGAGGGAGCCUGAGAAACGGCUACCACAUCCAAGGAAGGCAGCAGGCGCGCAAAUUACCCACUUCCAGAACGGAGAGGUAGUGACGAAAAAUAACGAGACAGUCCUCUCUGAGGUCUGUCAUCGGAAUGGGUACAAUUUAAAUCCUUUAACGAGGAUCUAUUGGAGGGCAAGUCUGGUGCCAGCAGCCGCGGUAAUUCCAGCUCCAAUAGCGUAUAUUAAAGUUGUUGCGGUUAAAACGCUCGUAGUUGAAUCUGCGGCCUGGGAGAAUGGACCCCCGAAAGGGUGGUAACUGUUACUCCUAGCCUAAAUUUUUAGUCUACUCUAUGGUGCCUUUAACCGGGUGCUUAGAGUGACUGGAACGUUUACUUUGAAAAAAUUAGAGUGCUUAAAGCAGGCGAAUUUGCCUGAAUAAGGUGCAUGGAAUAAUGGAAUAGGACCUCGGUUCUAUUUUGUUGGUUUUCGGAGCCUGAGGUAAUGAU
Molecule: ribosomal RNA, 822 nt
Filed under: Longidorus sp. 4 SAS-2014
Lineage: Eukaryota; Metazoa; Nematoda; Enoplea; Dorylaimida; Longidoridae
Description: SSU rRNA
Rfam family: Eukaryotic small subunit ribosomal RNA
Source: RNAcentral